GGCCGGUGGCGUGACGUCACCUCGCCGCGCUCUGAUUGGAGGAUGGCUCCGGGCGGGAGCUCGGGGGUAAACAAAGCGGUGUCGUCUCUUCUCCGCAGCCAUUGCGAAAGGCCUUUUCUGUGGCUCUCAGAAAUCCACUGCUACUGCUUGAACGAGGACGCGGCAUACGGAAAAAAGAGACCCGAAAUACCUCGAAAUGUACGUUACUUCGUUUGACGCGAAAGAAUUUACCCUGGGAGCAUACGAAGCACCAAUAUGCGUCCCGGUCUCCGGCGGUCGGAUGUUGAUGUGAGUCCCCCCAACGUCAGCACGGUGAUGUGCGACGCGAGUGAGCCUUUCUACUUUUUGGCGGAGACCACUUUUCGCCAGCAAGUGACUCGGUGUCUCCGUGAAGCAUCGAAGUGUAGCUACAGCCCUCUUCGGCGAGCUGAACGGGCUGCCGAGCUUUCGAAGGCCGAUCUCCCGCAGCGCUGGCACCCGGAGAACCGCCCCAUGGCGCUCGCUAAGAAUCCACCGGCUGCCGGGCUCGGAGGACAUGUUGCAGGCCCCGUGUAAUGCCCUCGGCGCCUGUGAGACUUCCAGGGGGUCUGCGUUUCACGGCCCCGUUACCAGCUGGGAAGUUCUCCAUAGAGGUAAGAUUAUGAAGAAACCACUCUAUGCACUCAGAGGUAGCUUUCAGAAGUUGUGGAAGCCAAAUACAAAUGCUGAUAUCUUUAGUAAAAAAAAAUUCAUAUUACUCGCUUUAUGACUUAUACAUCUCUAUUUUGCAAGCCACAUAUGGCAGGAAAGUUUCACAUUAUCUCAACCUGGUUGCUCAAGGCACUGAAAAGCUACCUUUUGCAGACGACUGUACCGUUGUCAUUUAUUAUAUGUUAUUCCUUGGCACCGGGGGAUUGGUGGCCGAGGGGGCUUCCACGCACCAGCUCGGAAAAUGUGGAGUGAAAGCUCGCGCUGCAGAACCCAGGAUUGUGUGUUCAAGCCCCACAUUUGCCCGUUUCGAUCUGGAUGAGCAUUGUACCGGCGUGCGGUCGUGUAUCACUACUACGUGAUGCAUGUUAAGGGCCCCAGGCUAGCGGUCAUCUACAGCUGGGAGAGUCAUUGCCCGUCGAGGCAGAUCGAGUUUGAGACUGCAUAAAUAUACACACAACCCGAUUCCUCGGCACGCUGCUGGUAUUGCUGUGCUGAUGUUUGGACGUUUUUUUUUGGUCGUUGAAAUGACUACUGUGGUGCUUGGGUGAAAUAACCUGGUCAAUUACCUCCUCGGCCGUAGUGCGUCGUUCACUUGUUACGCUCUCUUCUCUUCUGGUUAAUGUGGCUCAGAUAACAGUCAUGAAGUCAGCCCGGUUGAAGUUCUCUCGACGCCACAUUCUCACAUCUCUGGCCGAUCAUCCUGCUUUCGCGCAAAACUCACACACCUUGUCUUCUUCGAUACUCCCGAAUGCGCCUUGGUUGCCCGCUCCGCCGCUAAUUUCAGUCCCGUGCCCACUGUUUUAUGACAACCUCCUUGACAUGACAAAUCUAGCUUCUGUAUCUGGCCAUCAUUAUGGGUUAGUGCUCAAUUUGUAAACUUGAUGUUUCAAAGUAACAGUACGAGCUUCCUCCAGCAUCUACUAGCAACCAAGUAAUGACAAAAACCAAAGCUUUAACUUCCAAGACUAAAAACCCAGAAGUAUGAGAACACGCUGGCCAACCCUGCUGAGGACAAGCCAGGAUGAGGACAAGCCAGGAGUGGGACAAGCAUGUAAUCUCAGUAUAUGGAGAGGUGUCCUCGAAGUUCCCAGCUUUAAAAUUGUGGUAGUUUGAGUUGGUUUAAGUUCGAGUCUCAAAAGAGCAAAUAAUGCAAUGUUAUUUAUUUUGAUUUGCAUCCCUUGGAUUCUGGCAGGUGUUCGGUACGAAGGGAAUGGAAUAGACAUGUUCAUUUAUGCAUUCUGUUGCUUCAAAAUAGGCUUUCACUGAUUUUAAGUUGGUAAUGGCAUGGGAGGACAAAUACGCUGCUCAGGGUGUAGCCGGAUCGUUUGACUACUGGGACGACUCUUUUACAGGGGACGACAUCCUGUCCAGCACCAGCUUCACCGUCUGGGACCGAGUGCACGAGGGGGUCGCACUGCAAGCACAUGAAAGAAGGGCACUGCGACUUUGAGGUCAAGCUUGUACAUCUACCAUUACAGAGUCCUAAAUGGAUGCCAAUUGCUACUGAUGACCUUAUGAAGGUGAAACGUCCCUGGAUUAAAGGGAAAAUCUGAUUGAAGGCGAGCUGAAGUUGUUUCUGACUUUAUUCUCUUAUGACUUGAAAGUAAUCUGCCUACUUCAUGAACUUUGAAGAUGCAAAAUUUGUUUCCGUAACUGUCCCACUUCAACGUAAUGUGCACAUUGAAACCUAUUCCUUUUCUUUUUCUGUUUUUUGGCAAGAAAAAAAAGCCAACGAAUCUCCCUCUUCCUUUUCGCAAUGGGGAGGUGUGGAAGAUUGAUUGGAUAUUUUAUAUACGCAACCAGUUUCAUAAGUGAAUGAAGAUAAAAGCAGAAUACAUGUUCACAGAUUAUUUGUGAAUCCUUAGACUUGGUGAAGUGAGCAGUUUAUGUUCGAGUCACGUAAUUAUAAAGUCAAAACCAGCUUUAGUGCAUUUUUAAGAAGCCUUUUAGACCUGAGAGUUCUGCUUUGACUCGGCAAUACACGACUCUCCUUUGUUAUUCCUAUAGCACAGCCGAAACUAUAAACACGAGCAUGUUGCCUGACCAAUGCUUGAACUGCCGUGAAAUCGACGAAGUCCCUAUCCUUCGAGAACAAGUGUCAACGGGGAUAGUCGAAAGACCAGGGUAUUUAUUGCACACGCAUACUUGAUUUCAAGCUUGCAGAUUGAAGUAAUUGUUUAAUGAAUCCAUUCUUAAACCUGUUUGAGAUUGUAUUGGUUCAUAUUCACAGUAUAUUUAUUUUUAAUUUCAGCAAGGAAUAAUUUAGAGACAGAUGUUGGUGUUCAGGCGUGAUGCUUUUAUUUUCGUAACAUGCAAGAGUGCAAAAAAUUAGACUUGGCUUUGUAAGCUGAUCUUUUUAUGUAUUCUUCCAAACAGCAUAGCAAGCAAUAAUAUAAGGGCUACAGCUGCAAAAGUGGCUACACCUGGCAUCUCAUUUGUUUUAUAGCGUGUACAGGUGAGACACUAUACUCCGUUUCACGGUCACUUGGCAAACAUUGUGACCCAAUAAGAGCAUCGGAGCCAGGCACAUGACAACACUCCACGGUCGAGUCCUCGUUAUCGCCACAGCAAGAGCGCCAUCUGCGACAAAACAUAGUUCUAGGCUUUUUUUUUUUUUCUCUUCUUCUUUUAGUAGUGUUGCCGUAGGAUUCUUCGAACCACAACACUACAUGACACUGAAGAAAGACUAAGACAUAUGUUACUUAUUAACGACACUUAAUAUAUAUCAACACUUUUGAGAAAAACGUGGCUUGUGAUCGACGUUCAAACAAUUGUAGCCGUGAAUCGACCACUUCCGCUCAAAACAUCGCCCUAGCAUUAGCACCCGCCACAGAUUCAUGGGCAAAUUGAGCAUGUGGUUGCCUCAUAAAAGUGUUACUGAAGACCUCGCUACUCUAGCGGACGGUAAAGGCCGGUUCUCACAUGCAGCGAAGCGCUCCUCACGUGCCGUCAGCUACUUAUUGUCUGCCAUGAGCGACAGUUUCGACGGUGCGAUACAAAGCUGGUGAACGCUCCCGUCAUCACGCGCUUAGCGCGAGGUCAGCGCUAUGCUUGUAGCGCUCCGCUGCAUGUGUGAACAGGCCUUAAUGUUGCUGCAGUGGACGUCCAUCCGAAUUCGUUUGGUUUCUGAGCAUUUGACAGCCGGUUCUGGUGGGUGGUCCUUGCAUUUGACGCGGUGACACAGAUGCUCCUGUGACAUGCUGCCAUGUGCCUCGCUCCGACAUUCUUACUGGGUCGCAGGAGCCGUAGCCUCCACGGUUCACCAAGCUAUCGUGAAACAGAGUGUAGACUAAGUUGUCUGCUAAUGAAAGUAGCGUUGCCAGCAUCAUGUAUUAUGUAUGAAACAGUGUUUACUUCGAGAAAACAAAUAAAGCCAUUCAUCCUUUCCA
Long non-coding RNA from Ixodes scapularis (black-legged tick), 4079 nucleotides. RefSeq lists it as uncharacterized. The record is from RefSeq and is a predicted model, not a curated record. NCBI's taxonomy places the organism in Eukaryota, Metazoa, Arthropoda, Arachnida, Ixodida, Ixodidae. The transcript has 2 exons.